GUACCUACGGGACGCAGCAGUGGGGAAUAUUGGGCAAUGGAGGAAACUCUUACCCAGCAAUGCCGCGUGAAUGAAGAAGGUCUUCGGAUUGUAAAGUUCUUUAAUUGGGGACGAAAAAAAUGACGGUACCCAAGGAAUAAGCCCCGGCUAACUACGUGCCAGCAGCCGCGGUAAUACGUAGGGGGCAAGCGUUGUUCGGAAUGACUGGGCGUAAAGGGUGCGUAGGCGGGGUAGCAAGUUAGAAGUGAAAUACCUAGGGCUUAA
This 264-nucleotide ribosomal RNA is filed under the name uncultured bacterium. RNAcentral's name for it is "partial 16S ribosomal RNA". It matches the Rfam family "Bacterial small subunit ribosomal RNA", at positions 333 to 612 of the family's 1533-position model. The record is from RNAcentral.